Molecule: ribosomal RNA, 497 nt
Filed under: uncultured bacterium
Lineage: Bacteria
Description: partial 16S ribosomal RNA
Rfam family: Bacterial small subunit ribosomal RNA
Source: RNAcentral
GAUGAACGCUGGCGGCGUGCCUAAUACAUGCAAGUCGAGCGAACAGAUGAGGAGCUUGCUCCUCUGACGUUAUCGGCGGACGGGUGAGUAACACGUGGAUAACCUACCUAUAAGACUGGGAUAACUUCGGGAAACCGGAGCUAAUACCGGAUAAUAUAUUGAACCGCAUGGUUCAAUAGUGAAAGACGGUUUUGCUUUCACUUAUAGAUUGAUCCGCGCCGCAUUAGCUAGUUGGUAAGGUAACGGCUUACCAAGGCAACGAUGCGUAGACGACCUGAGAGGGUGAUCGGCUAGCCGGGAAGUGAGAAACGGUAGAGACUCCUACGGGAGGCAGCAGUAGGGAAUCCUACGCAAGGGGCGAAAGGCUGACGGAGCAAAGCGGCGGGAGGGAUGAAGGUCUUAGGAUGGUAAAACGCUGUUAUUAGGGAAGAACAAAUGUGUAAGUAACUAUGAACGUAAUGACAGUACCGAAUGAGAAAGCUACGGCUAACUACGUG